Molecule: ribosomal RNA, 253 nt
Filed under: uncultured bacterium
Lineage: Bacteria
Description: partial 16S ribosomal RNA
Rfam family: Bacterial small subunit ribosomal RNA
Source: RNAcentral
UACGUAGGGGGCAAGCGUUGUCCGGAAUUAUUGGGCGUAAAGCGCGCGCAGGCGGUCCUUUAAGUCUGAUGUGAAAUCUCACGGCUUAACCGUGAGCGGUCAUUGGAAACUGGGGGACUUGAGUACAGAAGAGGAGAGUGGAAUUCCACGUGUAGCGGUGAAAUGCGUAGAGAUGUGGAGGAACACCAGUGGCGAAGGCGACUCUCUGGUCUGUAACUGACGCUGAGGUGCGAAAGCGUGGGUAGCAAACAGG